AUUCAUUUAGUUGCUUCUGACUAUAGGAGUCUGCAAAAAGAAGAUUCUUUUGGAAAGGAGAAAGCAUAUAGAAAAUUCAAGAAAGAAGGCAGUUGAAAUUCUCGUUUGUGUGAUUAUUGAGUUUAAGGUUGUAUCCCUAGCUUUAAAAACAUGAUCAGUUGUGCAGAUGAGAAUAUUUUGUGUUUGGGAAAAUUUUAUAACAUGGUGUUUGUAUUCUUUUAGAAGUUUU
RNAcentral lists this unclassified non-coding RNA (229 nucleotides) under Hevea brasiliensis (rubber tree). The record is from RNAcentral. Lineage: Eukaryota; Viridiplantae; Streptophyta; Magnoliopsida; Malpighiales; Euphorbiaceae.